AUUGAACGCUGGCGGCAUGCUUUACACAUGCAAGUCGAACGGUAACAGGGAGCUUGCUCCGCUGACGAGUGGCGAAUGGGUGAGUAAUGCAUCGGAACGUACCGUGUAAUGGGGGAUAACGUAGCGAAAGUUACGCUAAUACCGCAUACGCCCUGAGGGGGAAAGUGGGGGACCGCAAGGCCUCACGUUAUACGAGCGGCCGAUGUCGGAUUAGCUAGUUGGUGGGGUAAAGGCCUACCAAGGCGACGAUCUGUAGCGGGUCUGAGAGGAUGAUCCGCCACACUGGAACUGAGACACGGUCCAGACUCCUACGGGAGGCAGCAGUGGGGAAUUUUGGACAAUGGGGGCAACCCUGAUCCAGCCAUGCCGCGUGAGUGAAGAAGGCCUUCGGUUGUAAAGCUCUUUGUUCAGGGAGAAACAGCAGCUCUAACACAGUCUGCGAAUGACGGUACCUGAAGAAUAAGACACCGGCUAACUACGUGCCAGCA
Molecule: ribosomal RNA, 488 nt
Filed under: uncultured bacterium
Lineage: Bacteria
Description: bacterial SSU rRNA
Rfam family: Bacterial small subunit ribosomal RNA
Source: RNAcentral